This 1009-nucleotide ribosomal RNA is filed under the name uncultured bacterium. RNAcentral's name for it is "bacterial SSU rRNA". It matches the Rfam family "Bacterial small subunit ribosomal RNA", at positions 547 to 1533 of the family's 1533-position model. The record is from RNAcentral.
GNAAUUACUGGGCGUAAAGCGCNCGCNGNCGGUUUGUNAAGUCAGAUGUGAAAUCCCCGGGCUCAACCUGGGAACUGCAUNUGAUACUGGCAAGCUUGAGUNUNGUAGAGGGGGGUAGAAUUCCAGGUGUAGCGGUGAAAUGCGUAGAGAUCUGGAGGAAUACCGGUGGCGAAGGCGGCCCCCUGGACGAAGACUGACGCUCAGGUGCGAAAGCGUGGGGAGCAAACAGGAUUAGAUACCNUGGUAGUNCACGCCGUAAACGAUGUCGACUUGGAGGUUGUGCCCNUGAGGCGUGGCUUCCGGAGCUAACGCGUUAAGUCGACCGCCUGGGGAGUACGGUCGCAAGGCUGAAACUCAAAGAAAUUGACGGGGGCCCGCACAAGCGGUGGAGCAUGUGGUUUAAUUCGAUGCAACGCGAAGAACCUUACCUGGUCUUGACAUCCACGGAAGUUUUCAGAGAUGAGAAUGUGCCUUCGGGAACCGUGAGACAGGUGCUGCAUGGCUGUCGUCAGCUCGUGUUGUGAAAUGUUGGGUUAAGUCCCGCAACGAGCGCAACCCUUAUCCUUUGUUGCCAGCAGGUAAGGCUGGGCACUCUGGAGAGACCGCCCCGGUCAACGGGGAGGAAGGUGGGGACGACGUCAAGUCAUCAUGGCCCUUACGCCUGGGGCUACACACGUACUACAAUGGCGCGCACAAAGGGUAGCGAGACCGCGAGGUGGAGCCAAUCCCAAAAAACGCGUCCCAGUCCGGAUUGGAGUCUGCAACUCGACUCCAUGAAGUCGGAAUCGCUAGUAAUUCGAGAUCAGCAUGCUCGGGUGAAUGCGUUCCCGGGCCUUGUACACACCGCCCGUCACACCACGAAAGUCGGUUUUACCCGAAGCCGGUGAGCUAACUCGCAAGAGAAGCAGCCGUCUACGGUAGGGCCGAUGAUUGGGGUGAAGUCGUAACAAGGUAACAAUCACUAGUGAAUUCGCGGCCGCCUGCAGGUNNGACCAUAUGGGAGAGCNCC